GACAAACGCUGGCGGCGUGCAUAAAACAUGCAAGUCGAACGGACUUCAAUCCGCAAGGACUGAAGUGAGUGGCGAACGGCUGAGUAACACGUAGGUGACCUGCCCCGAAGUUUGGGAUAACAACUCGAAAGAGUUGCUCAUACCGGAUGUGACCACCGAUUCAUUUCGGUGCUUAAAGUCGCAAGACGCUUUGGGAGGGGCCUGCGGCGGAUUAGCUAGUUGGUGUGGUAACGGCAUACCAAGGCUUCGAUCCGUAGCUGGUCUGAGAGGAUGGCCAGCCAGACUGGGACUGAGACACGGGCCCAGACUCCUACGGGAGGCAGCAGUUAGGAAUUUUUGCGCAAUGGAGGAAACUCUGACGCAGCCACGCCGCGU
RNAcentral lists this ribosomal RNA (375 nucleotides) under uncultured bacterium. RNAcentral describes it as "bacterial SSU rRNA". It matches the Rfam family "Bacterial small subunit ribosomal RNA", at positions 28 to 402 of the family's 1533-position model. The record is from RNAcentral.